Molecule: ribosomal RNA, 486 nt
Filed under: uncultured bacterium
Lineage: Bacteria
Description: bacterial SSU rRNA
Rfam family: Bacterial small subunit ribosomal RNA
Source: RNAcentral
GAUGAACGCUAGCGGCAGGCCUAAUACAUGCAAGUCGAACGGUAGAUCGGGUAGCAAUACUUGAUUGAGAGUGACGUAAGGGUGCGUAACACGUAUGCAAUCUACCCUCAACAGGAGUAUAGCUCGGGGAAACUCGGAUUAACACUCCAUAACAUUACGAUGUGGCAUCACAUUGUGAUUAAAACUCCGGUGGUUGAGGAUGAGCAUGCGUCUGAUUAGUUAGUUGGAGGUGUAACGGACCCCCAAGACGAUGAUCAGUAGGGGAACUGAGAGGUUGAUCCCCCACACUGGCACUGAGAUACGGGCCAGACUCCUACGGGAGGCAGCAGUAGGGAAUAUUGGUCAAUGGGUGAGAGCCUGAACCAGCCAUGCCGCGUGCAGGAAGACGGCCUUCUGGGUUGUAAACUGUCUUUUAUCGUGGGGAAUAAAAAGCCCAUGCGGUGGACAUUGAAGGUACCAGAUGAAUAAGCACCGGCUAACUACGUG